UACAGAGGGGGCAAGCGUUGUUCGGAAUUACUGGGCGUAAAGGGCGCGUAGGCGGCCUUCUAAGUCGAACGUGAAAUCCCCGGGCUCAACCCGGGAACUGCGUCCGAUACUGGAAGGCUUGAAUCCGGGAGAGGGAUGCGGAAUUCCAGGUGUAGCGGUGAAAUGCGUAGAUAUCGGGAGGAACACCAGUGGCGAAGGCGGUUGCCUGGAGCUUUGCUGACGCUGAGGCGCGAAAGCGUGGGGAGCGAUCCGG
RNAcentral lists this ribosomal RNA (253 nucleotides) under uncultured bacterium. RNAcentral describes it as "partial 16S ribosomal RNA". It matches the Rfam family "Bacterial small subunit ribosomal RNA", at positions 524 to 776 of the family's 1533-position model. The record is from RNAcentral.